RNAcentral lists this long non-coding RNA (648 nucleotides) under Apteryx rowi (Okarito brown kiwi). RNAcentral describes it as "lncRNA (ENSARWG00000005874.1)". The record is from RNAcentral. Lineage: Eukaryota; Metazoa; Chordata; Aves; Apterygiformes; Apterygidae.
AGCAAAACAAAUGAAAGGUGGUUUCCUCUUGCUGGAGGGGAUUCUCUGAAGGCUAACCCUGCGUCCCACUAAUAGAGUCCCUCCUGCCGGUCUGCUCCUUCUGUUUCAGUGAAAUCCAUAAGUAUGUGGUACCAGUGAAAUCUCUGCUUUUCAGUCACAUUUGAUUGAAAUUGGCCAAAAGCUUCUGGGGAGAUGGAGGCCAGACAGGCCAAUUCAUUAAACACACAUUGUAACUGAGUGAAUCUUGUGUUAUUAGGCAACCAGGCUAAAAAUACUGAUGGGGUUUGUCUCAACAGAAGCCAUUUUCCCUCUGGGUUGUAGGCUGUUCCUUCGAGUGGUGCCACACCGAAUCUGUCCCUCCAGUUGGAGUGCUCACAGCUAGAGCGAUCAUUUGAAGAGCUCAGCAGGGAAACUCACAUAUCACCUGCUUGUUUGAAGGCUGAUUCCAACCACCGCUAUCAGCUUGCGCUUUCAGCAACACUAAAGGCUCUCUACAGUGUUGCCAGGCUUCAUGGAGGUCUCCUGAGCAAUAACAGCAAUCGAGGGUGGCACGUGUGUAAAGAAAAUGCUUACUCUUACUGUGAGAAUGGGUGGUAAAGUGGCUGCACUGAGUGCCGUGUGCCACUAACGACUCUUUGCUAAAGUGAG